RNAcentral lists this ribosomal RNA (330 nucleotides) under uncultured Actinomycetes bacterium. RNAcentral's name for it is "bacterial SSU rRNA". It matches the Rfam family "Bacterial small subunit ribosomal RNA", at positions 28 to 351 of the family's 1533-position model. Lineage: Bacteria; Bacillati; Actinomycetota; Actinomycetes. The record is from RNAcentral.
GACGAACGCUGGCGGCGCGCUUAACACAUGCAAGUCGAGCGAGAACCAGGGCUUCGGCCCUGGGGACAGCGGCGAACGGGUGAGUAACACGUGGAUAACCUGCCCUCGGCACCGGGAUAGCCCGGGGAAACCCGGAUUAAUACCGGAUAGCCCUUCCGGUCUUCGGACUGGUCUGAAAAGGUAGCUUCGGCCUCUGGCCGAGGAUGGGUCCGCGGCGGAUUAGCUUGUUGGUGGGGUAACGGCCCACCAAGGCUCCGAUCCGUAGCUGGUCUGAGAGGACGAUCAGCCACACUGGGACUGAGACACGGCCCAGACUCCUACGGGUGGCUG